UACGGGGGGGGCAAGCGUUGUUCGGAAUUACUGGGCGUAAAGGGUGUGUAGGCGGUUGUUUAAGUUUGGUGUGAAAUCUCCCGGCUCAACUGGGAGGGUGCGCCGAAUACUGAAUGACUUGGAGUGCGGGAGAGGAAAGUGGAAUUCCUGGUGUAGCGGUGAAAUGCGUAGAUAUCAGGAGGAACACCGGUGGUGUAGACGGCUUUCUGGACCGUAACUGACGCUGAGACACGAAAGCGUGGGUAGCAAACAGG
RNAcentral lists this ribosomal RNA (254 nucleotides) under uncultured bacterium. Its description in RNAcentral is "partial 16S ribosomal RNA". It matches the Rfam family "Bacterial small subunit ribosomal RNA", at positions 524 to 776 of the family's 1533-position model. The record is from RNAcentral.